AUUGAACGCUAGCGGCAGGCCUAACACAUGCAAGUCGAACGGAGUGGCGGACGGGUGAGUAAUGCCUCGGAAUCUGCCUGGUAGCGGGGGAUAACGACGCGAAACGGGCGCUAAUACCGCAUACUAUUGGAUGAGCCUAUGUCGGAUUAGCUAGUUGGUGGGGUAAAGGCCUACCAAGGCGACGAUCCGUAACUGGUCUGAGAGGAUGAUCAGUCACACUGGAAAUGAGAAACGGUCCAGACUCCCAAGGGAGGCAGGAGGGGGGAAUAUUGGAAAAGGGGGGAAAGCCUGAUCCAGCCAUGCCGCGUGGGUGAAGAAGGUCUUCGGAGUGGAAAGCAAUUUAAGGUGGGAGGCGGUACCAACAGAAUAAGCACCGGCUAACUUCGUGCCAGCAGCCGCGGUAAUAC
Molecule: ribosomal RNA, 407 nt
Filed under: uncultured bacterium
Lineage: Bacteria
Description: partial 16S ribosomal RNA
Rfam family: Bacterial small subunit ribosomal RNA
Source: RNAcentral